UACGAAGGGGGCUAGCGUUGUUCGGAAUUACUGGGCGUAAAGGGCGCGUAGGCGGCGUGACAAGUCACUUGUGAAAUCUCUGGGCUUAACCCAGAACGGCCAAGUGAAACUGUUGUGCUAGAGUGCGGAAGGGGCAAUCGGAAUUCUCGGUGUAGCGGUGAAAUGCGUAGAUAUCGAGAGGAACACCAGAGGUGAAGACGGGUUGCUGGGCCGACACUGACGCUGAGGCGCGAAAGCCAGGGGAGCAAACGGG
Molecule: ribosomal RNA, 253 nt
Filed under: uncultured prokaryote
Description: partial 16S ribosomal RNA
Rfam family: Bacterial small subunit ribosomal RNA
Source: RNAcentral